This 474-nucleotide long non-coding RNA is filed under the name Elaeis guineensis (African oil palm). RNAcentral describes it as "long non-coding RNA (EGUI_LNC051740)". The record is from RNAcentral. Lineage: Eukaryota; Viridiplantae; Streptophyta; Magnoliopsida; Arecales; Arecaceae.
GUGAGCCCACAAAAUCUCAAAGAGAUCUUCAACAUCCUCUCAAGCAUGUCUGUUGAUGAUCCGGAGCAUCCAAAGAAUCGACAGACAUCGAUCGAAGGAGUUCGAUCAGUAUCGACCGUCAAAAGGGCUCUACAACGAGCUAGCACUUGUGAGGAGUCGAUCAGACCGGGAGCUUCGUGUGGAUGAUCCACAGAGGCCAGACAUGCUGUGUGGCUAUGUCACGACGAUCAGACUCUUCCAACGGAGAUCAGAUUGCGGCGAUCUACUACCCGCACAAAGGUAUUGUGUUCUGAACACAUUACAAUAAAGUGUUUAUUAUUCAAAUUCGAAUUUUAAAUUUAAAUGCAUGCAUGCUAUAUAUCAUAUUUAGAUCCUAGUGUAGGAUAAAUUCAUGUUAAUUAAUUAGAUUAAUUAAUAUUUUUUCACUAUAAAAUCAUGAUUUUGAAAAAGUUUUAAAAUUAUCAUUUUACCCCU